UUGAACGCUGGCGGCAUGCCUUACACAUGCAAGUCGAACGGUAACGCGGGGCAACCUGGCGACGAGUGGCGAACGGGUGAGUAAUGCAUCGGAACGUGUCCUGUAGUGGGGGAUAGCCCGGCGAAAGCCGGAUUAAUACCGCAUACGACCUACGGGUGAAAGCGGGGGACCGCAAGGCCUCGCGCUAUAGGAGCGGCCGAUGUCGGAUUAGCUAGUUGGUGGGGUAAGG
Molecule: ribosomal RNA, 229 nt
Filed under: uncultured bacterium
Lineage: Bacteria
Description: partial 16S ribosomal RNA
Rfam family: Bacterial small subunit ribosomal RNA
Source: RNAcentral